This is a non-coding RNA of Chelonoidis abingdonii (Abingdon island giant tortoise), 3785 nucleotides long. NCBI's taxonomy places the organism in Eukaryota, Metazoa, Chordata, Testudines, Testudinidae. The record is from RefSeq and is a predicted model, not a curated record.
CGUUUCUUGUCCUGUCCUCAGAGGUUAAGAAGAAUCAUUUUUCUCCGUCCUCCUUGUAACAACCUUUUAUGUACUCGAAAAUGGCUAUUGUGUCCCCUCUCUGUUUGUAUCAGCUGCAAAUGUUGGCACCUCACUGCUUACCUCUUUUUCCAGAUCACUGAUGAAUAUUGCACAGCACUGGUCCCAGUACAAGCCCCUCUGGGGACACCUCUAUUUACUCCUCUCCAGUCUGAAAAAUGGACCAUUUAUUCCUGCCCUUCGUUUCCUACCUUUUAACUGGAGCGCCUGGCAAUGCUUUCAGGAUCAUCUAGCCUUAAUUUGAUUUAAUGACAAGACUUUUGUUAUCUCAGUCACUCUGCAGCUUUUUAUAAACACACUCCCUGCCCCAAAGGCAGAAGCUGUUAGCGGCGCAGAACUCCUCACCUUCCCCACUCCAGCUCUGAGCACCCAGGGAGUCACAUCUAUGAUUAAAUUGCUGCCCCAGCUUGUGUGUGUGUUUGUGCAUGAGUGACAGGUGUGUGUAUGUCUGUUUGCUAUGUUAGUCUGUAUGGAUAUCAUAUAUCAUGCAAUCUACCAGCUCUCCUGCAUAGCCUGGAUCCUGUGAGCAGCCAGGGACAAAUGCCCCCUGGGGCAGAUGGGAGCUGUGAGGGGGGUGGGCUGCUCCUUUCAUUGUGCAGGGGGAAGUGAUGCAGGAGGAGUCGGGGGCAGCUCUAGGCAGAAGCUCUGCAGUGGCAGAGACUAAAAUCUAAGCAGAGAAUGCUGCAUUCCUUAUUCUACUAGUUUCUUGCUGACUGGUGGAAAAAAGUGACUCUCAGGGUGUGUCUACACUGCACAGUAAGCCCAGCUCAGACUCAGGUUUGAGACCAAACCCCUUUUUGUCCACACACAGAUCAGUCUGACUCAGGUCAUGUCAGGUCCUAGCAUCCUGCUGGGGCGAGUCUGAGCCUGCAUCUUGGCGUGACUCCGGUCCGAGCCUUGACAUUUUGCCGUGUGGAUGCAGCGUAAGCUCCAAACUGGUCAGAAGAUCAACACGGUGCAGUAUCGACCAUUAGCAAGGCUGAGAGACCCAGGGCAGCAAUUGUAAACCCAGGUUUGCUGUGCAGUGUAAACGCUCAUGCCUGGGUUCAGACACAAGUGGCCACAAACCUGGGUCCCACAGAACUGGGUUUACAAUGCAGUGUAGACGGACCCCUACUGAUUCGUUGGCACCAUCCCAGGCCAGGUGUAGUUACCAAUGGGUUGGUGAUGAGGCCAGUGGAUACCAGUGAGAGGAGAUUCUAAUCCGGUGGCUUUUGACACCUCACUGGGCAGGUGGCCGAGAUGUUACAAGGUGCCAGGCAGGGGAGAAUCUGAAUCUCUGUAUGAGCACAGGAGACUCUUAUUGGAGAAGGCCCUAUCAGGACCACUCAUUGACCACACCCCUGACCUGAAAAGGCGGCAAAUUCAAAUCUUAUGAAAUACAUUUUCACACAAGGUGCAGCUGGCCUGUGGAACUCGCUGCCAUAAGACCUCCUUGGUCAAUCUUCCUUUCUGACUUCUGCCAAGUUCUUGGCAUUUAUAGGGAUAAUGGGACCAUCCAGAGUUAUAAACAUCAAUAUUACACAGUAACCUGGAGUGGGAAGGACUCUAAACCCUCCUGUGGCAAGGUACAAGCCCCAGCUUCUAUCCAAGGGGGGUGAGUGAGGAAUCUGUCACUGGAGCAGGUUAUUCCAUCACUGUCCAGUACAGGGGUGUCCUGCCCCUCCCGCUGAAGCAGCAGGCAAAGCCUCGAACCCAGACCCCACGGGACGGGACAGCAGUGAAAGGAAACAGAACAAGGAUGAUUCAGCGACCUGGAGUCGAUUUGGGCAGCGCCUGCUAAGGCCUGGUUGACCCUGGGGAUAAAAGCAGUGCCAAGAAAAGGUUUGAAACAGUCCGUUCGAACACAGCCCAGACGCAGUCUGGCUGAUCGGGGUAUUCAGGCAAAACUCACAGUCAAAUUUUAUUUGAAAGGUGUGUUCACUGAUCACCCCACGUAGCCAAACUUUGCCUGAGCUGUAAUCAAGUGAGCUGCUUUGAAUCUGUCCUUACGAAGGGCUCUGCCAGCCCCACCAUGAACUGGCCUCAGUUACCAGUGGCUGCAGAAAGGUGGUUCAGAUGAACAAGUCGCCUGUUUUGGAGUCCGUGAGUCUUUCCGAGACAGAAAAGAUGUUGAAUGGGUCGUAUCACGCUGAGAAAUUGAAAGCCAGGCCACUCCUGGCCUCUCAGGAAACCCAAAUGAAACAAAACGGAACAAUCAUGUGCCCAUCCCCUCCCAGGUGGAAAGAGCAGCAAAAUCUGCCCUACAGGUUUGCUGUCUCGAUUGAAACCAUGGGCACGUCGCUGGGCAGUUCCGAGUGUGGGUCUCAAUCUCGUACUGAGCAUCGCUGUUAUCAUCCUCAUCAUCGUCCUCAUCGCCGUGUCAGGUGAGUGUGGAGCCCGCACUGAUCCCGUCUCUGCAUCUUCCACUCAGUAUGGAAACAUCACAAUCCCCGCAACUUCUCUUCCCUCCCCCCCACAGCCCACGCCCGCUUCAACAGUCACAUCAGACUCUGCUGAGCCCAUGGCAUUUCUGUGGGGUCUCCCCCGCCCCCAGUGUUCAGCUCCCACCAGCUAAUGGUUUACUCUGCCCUGUUACCCAAACACACCUGCUUACCCAGGGGUGUGAGUCACUGUGUCAUUCCCCUGCCUCCAGCGGGAGGGAUCUGUACCUGUACCUGGCCUGCUGUUGGCUCCCUGACCCCACCGGCCUGUCAGCCUCGCAAGCCCUCUCUUCCUGGCUAGGACAGCCCUGGCUUUGCCCUGCAGGUAACAAUAACUGCACCCCAGUCCCUUCAUCCCUUUGCAGCGCUCCCCUGUGACAUCCAGCCCUGGCACUGGGUCCUCACAGAAAUCCCAGAUCCACUGCCCCUAAAGGGACAGUGUGUGCCAUUUACCAGUUUUACCAUAAACCGCUGCUCCUGUAUCUCACCCAGCCCUUGUGAGCGCGGCUAAUAAAACAAGACAAAAAGUUUGUUCAGGAAAGAAAAAAGUUUUAACUAGAAACAAGAGAACAAGAUGGGAACAACACAAAACAAAAUCACAAAACUUGAACCUGGGUCUACACUCACCGUUCCUGUCUAAUGAAGCUGCUUUCCCCCAAGUCCAGUCUCUUGCUGAGGUGGCCGGUUUCACAGGCAUCUGGAUCCAAGCCUUCCUGAAAGCCCCCUUGCUCCUCCUCAGUGAAUGGAUCCAGAGGAUCUUUUCCCCUCCUCUGGGAUAUUCAAACACAGAGAGAGAACAGCACCACCUGGUGGCUAGUUGCAUCAUCAUAGGUGUUCCUAUUCUGUACCUAGCAUCUCAUCUGUAGGUGCAUGGGGGUAACAGCGCCAUAUAGUGGUUGUUUAUAAUGAUCUUAGUGGUUGGUUGUAAGUGGCCUCACCCCCCUGGCCUUUUUGAGAGCACAGUUUUGUGCCCACAGUACAUUGCCCUGGUAUUGCGCCCCCCGCAGACCAGCCUGGCCAUUCAGAUGUCAAUGCGCCUGACGUGCAGGUGCAAUCAGGUAUCUCAAUGACUGUGUCUGUGUGGCAUAGGGUACAUGGCAGCCCUCAUUGAAAAUACCCAAAGUCAGGGCAGGCUGCAAAAGGGAGAGCAGAUACCCACCAGUCUUGGGAGUAACGCUGAAGUUAGAUGCCCCAGCCAGUCACAAAUUGUGCUUCUGAUCCCCCACACUGGUUAUUAAGAAGUUAAAAAAGAAAUCACCCAGCCCCCUCUAUUGCAUUCCAGUU